UGCACCGAGAGGAACGGAGUUCUGCAUCAGUAUCACGUUGCAGUUUUAGCCGCGAAUAUUAAAAGCGAAAUCGCAUCCCGCAGAGAUACUCUUUUCCAGAGUCUAGUGAAGAGCACAAAUUGCAUUAAUUACAUUGUGGUUUUAUCAUCUAUGUCACGCAGAUGAGAUGGAGGCUUCCAAUUUUGCAACAUUUCAGUUUCAGCUAUCUCAAAUAAUUCUGGCGAAGACUGAUGGGAUUGCUGGUUUCAGAUACGUGUCGUUUUGGUACUUGAUCUUCACCGUCAUUGAGGGUAAGACUACCGUUCCUUUCCUGGAUGACUGUAUACUGCGUAGGAGCAAAGCGAGACUCGCCUUUCGCGCGUUUGCGCCGUUCGAUGAUUACCGUGUCGGCUAAUGGAUUUGACCGGUCUCGCAGAAAGAUACCUAGACCUGUAGUCAACGAUUACGAGGAUUGAACUUGAGUUCAGUGGACAUUUCUACAGAUAUUUCUAUUUCUAUCGAUAAUACAGGGUGAUUAUAUGCCACACAUCUCCCCUCUACUCAAAGAAAAUAAAUGCAUCAAUCUUUUUUUUUUUUAUUUUUUUCAUUAGUUUGUCGAAGCAAUAAACACAUUCACCUUUUUUUGUUUAGGAAA
Toxorhynchites rutilus septentrionalis is the source of this 634-nucleotide long non-coding RNA. RefSeq lists it as uncharacterized. The transcript has 3 exons. The record is from RefSeq and is a predicted model, not a curated record. NCBI's taxonomy places the organism in Eukaryota, Metazoa, Arthropoda, Insecta, Diptera, Culicidae.